This is a transfer RNA of Neurospora crassa OR74A, 95 nucleotides long. It matches the Rfam family "tRNA". From Rfam's summary of the family: Transfer RNA (tRNA) molecules are approximately 80 nucleotides in length. Their secondary structure includes four short double-helical elements and three loops (D, anti-codon, and T loops). Lineage: Eukaryota; Fungi; Ascomycota; Sordariomycetes; Sordariales; Sordariaceae. The record is from Rfam.
GUCGCUUUGGCGGAGUGGUUAACGCGCUGCCCUGCUAUUACGUAAUACGCUAGGCAGUUCUUUCGAGAGCGCAUGUUCGAAUCAUGCAGGCGACG